AGCGCAGGUGGUUUCUUAAGUCUGAUGUAAAAGGCAGUGGCUCAACCAUUGUGUGCAUUGGAAACUGGGAGACUUGAGUGCAGGAGAGGAGAGUGGAAUUCCAUGUGUAGCGGUGAAAUGCGCAGAUAUAUGGAGGAACACCGGAGGCGAAAGCGGCUCUCUGGCCUGUAACUGACACUGAGGCUCGAAAGCGUGGGGAGCAAACA
RNAcentral lists this ribosomal RNA (206 nucleotides) under uncultured bacterium. Its description in RNAcentral is "partial 16S ribosomal RNA". It matches the Rfam family "Bacterial small subunit ribosomal RNA", at positions 568 to 774 of the family's 1533-position model. The record is from RNAcentral.